UUUAUUAUAAUUAUUGGUGAUUAAUUAACUAUUUAUUUGGACUUUAAUAAGAAUAAAUAGUAUUUUAGUAAAUUUUACGUAAAAAUGUGUUGUAUGAAUUCAUGUUUUACGUUAAGAAUGUUUGUUUGAGUCCAUGCAAUAUGUUUGUGUGAAUCUAAAUAAUAAAUGCUUAUGUAUGGUGUGUCAUGCAAGUAAAAUGGACCUAUGUGUUACGUAUUUUUACGUAAGUUUCUGUAUGAGUUUAGAGAUUCGUACUUGAAUGUAUUUUGAGUGUAUUGUUGUGUUAAUGAAUGUCUAGGAUCUUGUUCUCAACAAGGAAAUUCGUUGAGGUGCUCGAGGUAGCAAGUGUGGUCUUAGCAACUGAGGUAAGGGUAAGGCUAAGCAGUGAGAAUGAAGAGCUCGAGGCGUGGACCGCAUGUUAGGGGGCUGGCACAGUAUUUUGCUUUUAAUGUUUUUAACUGCUAAACAUUUUGGAACUAUUAUUUUGACUUAACUAGUUUUAUUUAAGUUUACAGUACUAAAAGUAUUUUGUUUUAAACAAUGAGAUCUCAUGCUUGGAUAUUUUUCAAUAAAGCAGUAUUUGAUUGUCUUUAUCUUAUUAAAUUAUUUUA
Long non-coding RNA from Cannabis sativa, 611 nucleotides. RefSeq lists it as uncharacterized. The transcript is spliced from 2 exons. The record is from RefSeq and is a predicted model, not a curated record. Lineage: Eukaryota; Viridiplantae; Streptophyta; Magnoliopsida; Rosales; Cannabaceae.